Molecule: ribosomal RNA, 465 nt
Filed under: uncultured ammonia-oxidizing beta proteobacterium
Lineage: Bacteria; Pseudomonadati; Pseudomonadota; Betaproteobacteria
Description: bacterial SSU rRNA
Rfam family: Bacterial small subunit ribosomal RNA
Source: RNAcentral
GGAGGAAAGCAGGGGAUCGCAAGACCUCUCACUAUUGGAGCGGCCGAAGCCUGAUUAGCUAGUUGGUGGGGUAAAAGCCUACCAAGGCGACGAUCAGUAGCUGGUUUGAGAGAACGACCAGCCACACUGGGACUGAGACACGGCCCAGACUCCUACGGGAGGCAGCAGUGGGGAAUUUUGGACAAUGGGGGCAACCCUGAUCCAGCCAUGCCGCGUGCGGGAAGAAGGCCUUCGGGUUGUAAACCGCUUUUGUUCGGGAAGAAAUCGACUCCGCUAAUACCGGGGUUGGAUGACGGUACCGGAAGAAUAAGCACCGGCUAACUACGUGCCAGCAGCCGCGGUAAUACGUAGGGUGCAAGCGUUAAUCGGAAUUACUGGGCGUAAAGCGUGCGCAGGCGGUUUCGCAAGUCAGAUGUGAAAGCCCCGGGCUUAACCUGGGAACUGCGUUUGAAACUACAAAGCUAG